RNA transcript from Homo sapiens (human), 15567 nucleotides. It is a transcript of the gene named killer cell lectin like receptor D1, with no coding region annotated. The transcript has 6 exons. The record is from RefSeq and is marked reviewed. Lineage: Eukaryota; Metazoa; Chordata; Mammalia; Primates; Hominidae.
AUUCACACUAUAAUACAUGUCUCACCAAUAGAUGAUUCAAGAACAUCAUUUAAAUACACAAUUUUUCAUUCUCUAUUUUUGCUAAAUUUCUUCAUACUCAACUUUCAGAUUCUUUAAUCUCCAGCUCAGCUUCAACAAUUCAACGCUGUUCUUUCUGAAAAAGUACACAUCGUGCCUUCUCUACUUCGCUCUUGGAACAUAAUUUCUCAUGGCAGUGUUUAAGACCACUCUGUGGAGGUUAAUUUCUGGGACCUUAGGGAUAAUAUGCCUUUCGUUGAUGUCUACGUUGGGAAUUUUGUUGAAAAAUUCUUUUACUAAACUGAGUAUUGAGCCAGCAUUUACUCCAGGACCCAACAUAGAACUCCAGAAAGACUCUGACUGCUGUUCUUGCCAAGAAAAAUGGGUUGGGUACCGGUGCAACUGUUACUUCAUUUCCAGUGAACAGAAAACUUGGAACGAAAGUCGGCAUCUCUGUGCUUCUCAGAAAUCCAGCCUGCUUCAGCUUCAAAACACAGAUGAACUGGCAUGAUUUUAUGAGCUCCAGUCAACAAUUUUACUGGAUUGGACUCUCUUACAGUGAGGAGCACACCGCCUGGUUGUGGGAGAAUGGCUCUGCACUCUCCCAGUAUCUAUUUCCAUCAUUUGAAACUUUUAAUACAAAGAACUGCAUAGCGUAUAAUCCAAAUGGAAAUGCUUUAGAUGAAUCCUGUGAAGAUAAAAAUCGUUAUAUCUGUAAGCAACAGCUCAUUUAAAUGUUUCUUGGGGCAGAGAAGGUGGAGAGUAAAGACCCAACAUUACUAACAAUGAUACAGUUGCAUGUUAUAUUAUUACUAAUUGUCUACUUCUGGAGUCUAUAAAAUGUUUUUAAACAGUGUCAUAUACAAUUGUCAUGUAUGUGAAACAAUGUGUUUUAAAAUUGAUGAAAUUCGUUCACCUACAUUUGAGAAUUAUAAAAUUAACAUAAAGAAUUUUGUAUUUUCAUUUAAUGUAUAUAUUUAAUGUUAAAUUCAAUGUAGUUUUAUUACACAUUUAUGUAAUUUUAUUUACAUUCUUGCUAAUUCUCAGCAGAAAUUUAAAUAAGAUUUAAUUCACAUCAAAUAAAAUUUAGAAAAUAAAAUUUAACUCACACUGCCCAGGCUGGAGCAUAGUGGCAAGAUCAUAGCUCAUUGCAAGCUCAAGUGAUCCUCCUGACUCAGCCUCCCAAGUAGCUAGGACUGCAGGCACCAUGUCACUAUGCCCGACUAAUUUUUAAUUUUUAAUUUUUUGUCAAGACAAGGUCUUGCUAUGUUGCCCAGGCUGGUCUUGAACUCCUGGCCUCAAGGGAUUCUCCCACCUUGGAUUCCCAAAGUGCUGGGAUUAUAGGUGUGAACCACCAUCCCUGGCCCUCUUCACAUUCUUGUAUGAAGAUUGAUUUGGGAAAAAUGCAUUUCAGGUAACUGACAAAAGAUAUAGGAUGAAAAAUAAUAUCUUUCAAAUGUUUAAUUUGAACUAAGAGAGCUUAUGCAUUGCACUUUCUGGAGAUUUGUAAUGUUUUGGUUUUGUUGUCCAUGUGACUACAAAAUAAUAUAUUUUUUAAUUAAAAAAUUUAAAAUAAUACAGGCAAGCAUGUAAUGAUUAUCAAUAUUUUUUUCCACCAACUAUCCUAUACCCCUGACCUCCUUUCAUUAGGCAUUAUCUUCUGUUUUGAUUUUAACACUUAGAGUGGUUUUCUCUGUUAUGAAUCAAAGCUGAUCUAUUUUCAUCAUUUUUGUGAUGAAAAAAUUAAUUUUGAUUGACUUAGGAUGGAAGGAUUUGGACUGGGUGUGGUGGUUUAUGCCUGUAAUCGCAGCACUUUGGGAGGCCAAGGCGGGUGGAUCACUUGAGGUCAGGAGUUUGAGACCAGCCUGGCCAACAUGGUGAAACCCUGUCUCUACUAAAAAUACAAAAAUUGGCUGGGUGUGGUAGUGCACACCUGUAAUCCCAGCUAUUUGGGAGGCUGAGUCGAGAGGAUCGCUUGAACCUAGGAGGUGGAGGUUGCAGUGAGUCGAGAUUGCACCACUGCACUCCAGCCUGGGUGACAGAGCCAGACUCCUCUCCAAAAAAAAAAAAAAAAAAAAAAGAUGAAAGGAUUUGGAACCUUAAUUGCAUCUGAAAAACUGCCUCACCUUUGUUAUUUAGUGUACUCCAACCACGGAGUAACAUCCCAUCAUAAUCCCAAAUCCUACUCAAACAAAAGGGGAAGGGAUUAUGCAGGUGUACACUAGGCCACUGGUGUACCAAUUAGAAACCACUUUAGAGUUAUGCCUACUGUACCCACAUAAUCCUAAAAAUAUGUUACAACUGCUACUUCAUAGUUUAUGCCACUUAUUUUAUUUUUUACUUUUAUUAUUUUUUUUUCUGAGACACGGUUUCAUUCCCAUUGCCCAGGCUGUAGUGCAAUGAUGCAAUCAUGGUUCACUGCAGCUUCAACUUCCCAGGCUCAAGGGAUCCUCCCACCUCAGCCUUCUGAGUACUUGGGACUCAGGUGCGAGCCAUCAUGCUCAGCUAAUUUUUUGUAUCAUUUGUAGAAAUGGGGUUUUGUAUUGUUGCCCAGGCUGAUCUUGAACUCCUGGGGUCAAGGAUUCUGCCCGCCUUGGCCUCCUAAAGGGCUGGAAUUACAGGCAUAAGCCACUGUGCCCGGCCAGUUUAUAUAAUUUAAACACUGCCUUUUGGUUCCUUGAUUCCCAUAUGCUAGGACAAGUAAUUAUUAUUUUAUUUUAUUUUACUUUAAGUUCUGGGUUACAUGUGCAGAACCUGCAGGUUUGUUACAUAGGUAUACAUGUUCCAAGGUGGUUUGCUGCACCUAUUGACCCAUCAUCUAGGUUUUAAGUCCCACAUGCAUUAGGUAUUUGUCCUAAUGCUCUUCCUCCCCUUGCCCCCCACCCCCCGACAGGCCUUGGUCUGUGAUGUUCACCUCCCUGUGUCCAUGUGUUCUCAUUGUUCAACUCCCACUUAUUAGUAAGAACAUGUGGUGUUUGGUUUUCUGUUCCUGUGUUAGUUUGCUGAGAAUGAUGGUUUCCAGCUUCAUCCAUGUCGCUGCAAAGGACAUGAACUCAUUCUUUUUAUGGCUGCAUAGUAUUCCAUGGUGUAUAUGUGCCAUAUUUUCUUUAUCCAGUCUAUCACUGAUGGGCAUUUGGGUUGGUUCCAAGUCUUUGCUAUGGUAAAUAGUGCUGCAAUAAACAUACGUGUGCAUGUGAGGACAAGUAAUUAUUUUCUGUUUUUCUCAAUACAUUAAUUAUUAGUUCCUCCGUUAGUUGUGAAGUCCUAAUUAGGGAAAAGGAGUUAGGCUGGCGGGAGCAGGGAAAAGCAGAAAGAGAAAGCAGAUAAGCUAUGAGUCUGCCUUUCUUCAUGGUCCAGGAUAUGGGCCAUGUGCUAAACUAUUACCAGACACCUGCAAGUUACCUCACCGCAACCUUGGCAUUAUCAGUACUGGACAAAGCCCUCUGCAGCAUACAGCAUAAACACUAUUCCAUAAAAUCCUAAGCAAGCCUUUGUUUCUUUGCAGUCAGCUUUUCUUCUGCUGAUGCUGCCUGUUGCCUCCCUGGAAACAUAUUUUCCUACUUUUCUUUAAUAAAUCUGCCUUCCUUUACCUACAGCUGUCUUGGUAAAUUCUUUUACCUCAAUGCCACCGGCCCAGGUAGCCGUUGCUCACCCACAACAUUAGUGUAUUAGUCCGUUCUUAUGCUGCUACUAAAGAUAUACCCAAGACUGGGAAAUUUAUAAAAUAAAGACAUUUAAUUGACUCACAGUUCUGCAGGGUUGGAGAAGCCUCAGGAAACUUACAGUAAUGACAGAAGGGAAAGCAAACACAUCCCUCUACGCAUGGCAGCAGAAAGGAGACGUGCUGAGCAAAAGGAAAAAUACCCUCUUAUUAAAUCAUCAGAUCUAGUGAGAACUCACUCACUAUCAUGAGAACAGCAAAGAGGUAACUACCCCCAUGAUUAAAUUACCUCCUACCAGUUCCCUCACAUGAUACGUGAGGAUUAGGGGCACUACAAUUCAAGAUGAGAUUUGGGUGGGGACACAGCCAAGCCAUAUCAGUUAGUGACAUCUGUAUUCUCAUAUUGCAUGCAUAAGAAAGUGAGUUAUUUUACAGCUGAACUGGGACAGCUCUUUGCUUAUUUCCAGAGAUGCCUAGGUGUCUGUUUUUGACUCUUGGCCAUGAUAUGGGUAGUAGGCUAACUAACUAGCUAACAAAUGGUUUAUGGUGAGUUCUUUAAAGUUCAAAAUCCCUCAGUGGAAUCCAGGGUCAAUUUGUUUAUUGAUAGCUUCCAUAUGAGAUAAUUACAGAUCUUGUCUCUGCUGUGUGACCAGACACAGAUAAAAGACUGCAAGAAAUUUCAGUUUCAGCUCUCAUGAAACCAAGUUUCAUCUCACAAAUAUCAGGUUUCAUCCAGAGAUGAAUGGUGUCUUUGCGCAAAUAUCUCUUGGUCCCACACUGCUUGUUUGAAUUCUCUUUCUCAUACGGUAUCAUAUUCCUUUCACUUAUUAAAAAGUUUUUCAUGGCUGGGCGCGGUGGCUCAAGCCUGUAAUCCCAGCACUUUGGGAGGCUGAGGCGGGUGGAUCACGAGGUCAGGAGAUUGAGACCAUCCUGGCUAACACGGUGAAACCCCGUGUGUACUACAAGUACAAAAAAAUUAGCCAGGCGUGGUGACAGGCACCUGUAGUCCCAGCUACUCGGGAGGCUGAGGCAGGAGAAUGGCGAGAACCCGGGAGACGGAGUUUACAGUGAGCUGAGAUCGCGCCACUGCACUCCAGCCUGGGUGACAGAGGAGACUCCGUCUCCAAAAAAAAAAAAAAAAAAAAAGCUUUUCAUAAGUAUGCUCAUUAGAACCUUAUAAUUCAUUUCAGUUAUCUACACCUGGAAAUGUUAGUUCUAUAAUUUUGGACUUUCUGAAACUUUUCUCUUUAUAUCCUAACGCAGGGGUUGAAAAACUUUUCUCAAAAAGCUCUAUAGCAUAUAUUUUCAACUUUGUGGACCAGUCUCUGUUGAAACUUCUCAACCUUGCCAUGGUGGUGCUAAAGAAGACAUAAAUAAUACAAAAAUGAAUGGUUUGACUGUGUUACAAAAGAAUUUUAUUGACAAAACAUAUGGUGAGACAGAUUUGGUCCACAGGCCAUAGUUUGCCAACAUGUGCCCAAGUAUGUAAGAUGAGAAUAUAAGGCCAUAAAUUCUACUCUCUGCUUUAUUCUUUUCCAGGUCACUUCUUACCAGUUGUAAAUGUACUUACAAAUUUUGCUAUAUGAAAACAGUUAUGUCUGUUACUAUCAAUCUGUGUUCAUUUUAAAGGGUGACAAUCUACAAAUUAUGUGUUAUAGACAAGUUGCAAGAUGUUCACCAAUGAUUCCCACCUUGUGCUAUACAUGCCUUGGUGGAAUUUCUUUCCACAUUGUAUCAAGGUUGCUCUGUGUGACCAAUGAAAUAAAGUGGAAAUGAUGAUAUUUCAUUUCUGAGAAUAGGUCAUCAAAGAUAGUAUGACUUCCUUUUUCCUCUCUCCCAGAUUACUUGAUCUGGGGAAAACCAGUUAUAAUGUCAUGAGCAGCCCUGUUGAAAGGACCAUGCGGCAAGGAACUGAAGACUCUUACACACAGCCAGCAAGGAACUGAAGUCUAUUUCCAAUAGCCAUGCUAUGAGCCUUCUUUGCUUGUAUAGGCUCCAGUCUUAGUCAAGCCUUCAGAUGAUUACAGCCCCCAGCCAACACCUUGACGGCAACCUCAUGAGAGACCCUGAGCUAGGUCCAUCGUGCUAUGCUGUUCGAGGAUUCCUCACUCUCAGAAGCUGUGUGAAAUAGUAAAGUGUUUAUUCUUUUUUUUUUUUUUUUUUUUGACAGAGUCUCACUCUGUCACCUGGGCUGGAGUGCAGUGGGGCCAUGUCGGCUCACUGCAACUUCUGCCUCCUGGAUUCAAGCAAUUCUCCUGCCUCAGCCUCCUGAGCAGCUGGGAUUACAGGUGUGCACCACCACUCCUGGCUAAUUUUUUUGUAUUUUUAGUACAGACGGGGUUUCACCAUGUUGGUCAGGCUGGUCUUGAACUCCUGACCUCAGGUGAUCUGCCUACCUCACCCUCCCAAAGUGCUGGGAUUACAGGCGUGAGCCACUGCGCCCAGACAUAACUUUUAUUCUUUUAAGUCACUAAAUAUUAACGUGUCACAUAGCAAUAAUCAAUACAUAUUUUGGUACCAAGAAUGAAGUUACUAUUAUAAAGAAAAAAAAAAACCACUAAAAUUUUGGAGUGCUUGAAAACAGGCAGUGGAUGGAGGCCAAAAGGACAGGAAAGACUGAAACCUUCUAGUAUGGGCUUAUAGUAGGGAAGUGAAAACAUAUUAGAAACUGGAGAAAGUAAAAAUCUUUCUAUUUAGUACCAGAAAGUUUAGCAACACUUUUGUCUGUAGCAUUGUGGAAAGUAGAAAAUGUACUUAAUGAUUUAAGAGAAUGCUCUAAACUUAUUUCCAACUAGAGUGUUGAAUAUCUUGUCUGAUUUCUUCCUACUACUUAUAUUACAAUGCUAUAGAACACACAUAAGCUAAUGGAAGGGCUGUUGAGCAAAAGAAGACAGAACUUGAUAGUUUUGAGAUUCCUGGACUCUCAAAUGUUAGCAUGUCAAAAAUGCUAAAAUUGAGAAAUAGAUUCUGAGCAAAGAUCCAAUCUAGAGUGCUCUCAGGAAAGCAUGAUUCUAAACAAGAAGGUGUGGGUGUGACUGAAAUUUCCUGUAAAUAUCAUAGAAAGAACACAAGUAGUGCCUCAAUUCAGUCAGAUGAAGAUCUAUAAAGGUCAAAUAAUAGGGCUUCUAGGAAGCCCCAGGGUAUUGUCCCUCAGGUAUCUCAGCAGAAGCUCCAGGUAGAGAGAAGAUUGAAGAGAUUUAUGUGUGCGGUUUUUACAAAUAGAGUUCAUAGAAAACCUCAAAACACUUUUGAGAUGACUAUGUCAGUAGAAAAUUGACAAUGAAUUGCUACCUUUUAUUCAAAAGUAAGAAUAAUUCAAAGGACAGAACUAAGAGCCUGUAAGGUGGAUCCAAGAGUUAUGAAGAGUGAUUUUAUAAGCAGAAAUAGGACUGAGUCCUAAUCAAAUGAGUCCCGACAUUUGCUAUGCUAGAUUUUAAAUUAUUAUGCAUCAGUGACUCCUUUGUAAUUCUCAUGCCCCUCCCUCUUUUGAACAAGGAUGUCUAUAGUUUGUUCUUUCGAAUGUUGAGUGUAUAAGGGAAGGAAAUCUCUAGUAUUGUUAAUUUCACAAGCCUUCACAUGGAGAAAAAUGAUACUCAAGAAGCUAAACUUAAGGAACUUCACCUGAUGAGUCUCACUCAUACCUGGAUGUGACAAAUUUCGGACUUUGAACUGACAUUGUAACGGAAUGAGAUUUGGCAGUUGGUGUGGAUUUUGUAUGUGGGAGGGACAUAAAUCAUUUGGGGCCAAAGAUUAGACUCUUGUAAACAGCUUCCUAUAUGCUCCCAAUGAUCCCUGUUUCUUGGAAUUUAACCCUUUUGAUAUAAUCAAUUACAUUGUAUAAGGGUUGAUCACUGUGACCAAGAGAAUAAGGCAGAAGUUAUCGCAUAUCACUUUUGAGGCUAGAUUAUAAAAGACAGUAUGUCUUUGGCGUUGCCCUUUCUCAUAUCAUCUGAUUUGGUGGAAGCCAGCUACCUUGUCGUGAGCAACUCUUUUAAGCGUUCCAUGUGGCAAAGAACUGAGGCCUCCUAUAAACAGCUAGCAAGGAACUGCAGCCAUCUUGUAGACAGCCUUGUGCACGAGCCUCCUUGGUUCAACUCUUCAGCCAGUGUCAAGCCUUAGAAAAUACAACCCAACCUACAUUUUUACUGCAACCUCAUGAGGGAUCCUGAGCUAGAACCACCUAGCACAGUUGCUCUUGAUUUCUGACCUCAGAAACUGUGAAGUGAAAUAUUUUGUUGUUUUAAGCUUACGAGUUUGAGGAUAAUUUGUUCUUUAUAGUAGUUAGCUGAUACAAUAUGCUUCAUCAUCAUGACCUCAUGAAUAGAGAACAUUUAUUUAUUUAUUGAGAUGGAGUCUCACUCUGUCACCCAGGCUGGAGUGCAGUGGCACAGUCUUGGCUCACUGCAACCUCUGCCUCGCUGGUUCAAGCGAUUCUCAUGCCUCAGCCUCCCCAGUAGCUGGGAUUACAGGCACCCACCACCAUGCCUGGCUAAUUUUUGUAUUUUCAGUAGACAUGAGGUUUUGCCAUGUUGGCCAGGCUGGUCUCCAACUCCUGGCCUCAAGUGAUCCACCUGCCUCGGCCUCCUGAAGUGCUGGGAUUACAGGCAUGAGCCAUUGUGUCUGGCCAAAUAGAGGACAUUUUAGAGCCCAAUAGUAAGCUAGGAUUAUAUUUCCUUCUUUGAGGUUCUAUUGUUAUAACCCUUAUACAAUAAAAAACAACUCUUCUGCCAGAUUAAAAUUUUUUGUUUUUUGGUUUUUUUAGUUCUCAAUUAUGUUGUAUAACCCAUGAGUGUCACUUUAUUCUCAUUGGAAAUAUCCUCCCAAGAGCUCUUACCCACCUGCUGUUGUUUGGACUGGCACCUUACUAGACCUGCUCCACAAACUGCCGUCAUGAAAUUUUUCUUCACUAAUUUUCUCAUUUACACUAAAUACUUCAUUGAUUACAGUUUACCUCUUCAUAUAUUUUAAUUGAGCAAAAACACAAUAAAGAAUACCUAUCUUAAAUUUACUCGUAAACAUUUAAGCUAUGUCUACACUUACACGAUUACUACCAGAUUGCAAUAGAGACUACCUACCACCACCAAGACUCUCUUGCUGUUUGCUAAUUGAUACUGUCUCCCCUGUUCCAAGAAAACUGCUACUCUGAUUUCUGAAAAUAUAGGUUUAUUUAGCCUGUUCUUUAAUUUCAUAUAAAUGGAAGCUUAGCAUGUAUGAUCUUUGUGGCUUCUGUUGCUAAGCAUUACGUCUGUGAGAUACAUCCAUAUAUUCGUGCAGCAGUAGCUCCUCACUUUUAUUGUCAUGUAGAAUUCAUAAGAAUGUAUCACAAUUUGCUUAUUUAUUCUAAUAUUGUUCAACAUUUGAGUCAUUUCCACUUUUCACUAUUAUGAGUAAAAUUGCUAUAAACAUUUUAAUAUAGCUCUUGUGGGACAUGUGGCUUCAUAUCUUUUGAGUGUACGCCUAGGAGUUGAAUUUCUAAGUCAUAAGCUGUCAUAUAUUUAGGCCCUUUAGUUCACGCUUUAAAAACUAGUGAUAAUUUAUUCAUAAAGCUUAUUUAUAAUUUCACUGGCAGUUUAUGUGAGUGUUACUCUGUAUUCUUGACAAUACAUAGUAUUAUGAAUUAUUUUAGUCUAAGGACCUUCUGGAUACUAUGCAUUUGCAUACAAUUGUACAUUUAAUUUCCAUCUUCCAAAUGAAUAAUGAUGCUUAUCCCUCAUCUUUUUUUUUCAUUUUUAUAUCCCCUUCUAUGUAGUGCUUGUUUAAGCUUUUAGCCAUUAUUUAUUUUUAACAGCGCUGUUGCAGUAUAAUUGAGAUACUUUAAGCAUACUUUAUAUGCUUAAAGUAUGACAUUUGAUGUAUUUCCAUAUCUAUGCAUCUGUGAAACCAUCACCUCAGCAAUAUAUAAAACACCUACUAACCUCAAAAGUAUCCUUUCCCCUAUGUAUAAAAUACUUCCUCUUGCUCCUCCCCUCACAGAUGAAUAUUCUGUUACUAUAGAUUUGCCUUUCUAUGUUUUAUAUAGAUAGAAUCAUAUAAUAUGUACAUCUGUGUUCUAGAUUUUUCAUUCAGCAUCAUAAUAGUUUUUAUACUCAUCUAUGUUGAUACAUGUAUCAAUAGUUAAUUCCCUUUUAUUUCUUAUUUCUUUCCUUUUUUUUUUUUUUUGAGACUGAGUAUUGCUCUGUCACCCAGAUUAGAGUGCAGUGGUGUGAUCUCAGCUCACUGCAACCUUCACCACCUGGGUUCAAGUUAUUCUCAUGCCUCAGCCUCCCCAGUAGCCGAGAUUACAGAUGCCCACCACCACGCCCAGCUAAUUUUUGUAUUUUUAGUAGAGACGGGGUUUCACCAUGUUGACCAGUCUUGUCUUGAACUCCUGACCUCAACUGCUCCACCUGCCUUGACCUCCCAAAGUGCUGGAAUUACAGGCGUGAGCCACCACAUCCAGCCGAUUCCUUUUUACUUCUGAGAGUCUUCUGAUCCUUGAGUAAAGUAUGUUUCUUGUACCUCAAUAUGCUUAAUUUUUUCCUUCUGGCUUUCGUUUUAGGUUCAGGGUAUAUAUGUAGGCUUCUUAUAUGAGUACAUUGCAUGUUGCAGUGGUUUGGUGUACAGAUAAUUUUGUCAUCCUGGUAAUCAGCAUAGUACCUGACAGGCAGUUUUUCUAUCCUCAUCCUUCUCCCUCUCCCCCCCAAGUAGGCCCCAGUGUCUAUUGUUUCCUUUUUUUGUGUGCCUGUGUACUCCAUGGUUAGCUCCCACUUAUAAGGGAGAAUAUGUGGUUUUUGGUUUUCUGUUCUUCCAUUGAUUUGCUUAGGAUAAUGGCCUCUAGUUCUAUCCAUGUUCCUGCAAAGGACAUGAUUUUUUUCUUUUUUAUGUCUGCAUAGUAUUCCAUGGUGUAUAUGUACCACAUUUUCUUUACCUAGUCCAUUGUCUCAAUAUACUUAAGUUAUACUCAGUAAUGUUUUGUAGUUUUUAAUAUUCAGGCCUUUUAUGUUUUUAUGAGAUUUCCCCAAAGUAGUCUAUUGUUUUUAAAGCUAUUAUACAUUUUAUUUUCUAAUUUCAAAUGUUUUAUUUUAAAAUUGUAAGUAUAUAUGUAUAUGUGUGUGUGUGUAUAUAUAUAUAUAUAUAUAUAUAUUCAUUUACACAGUUGAUUCUAAGUGUAUCUUUUAUUGUUUAACCUGCCUAAAUUCACUUAUCCUAGCAGCAUUUCUGUAGAUUUCAUUGGGUUAUCUGCAUAGAUGAAUAAAGACAGUUUUUACCUCUUUCUUUUGAAAACUGUGUGCCUUUAAUUCUUUUUAUCACCUUGUCACAGUGGCCAGAAUAUUCAACACAAAGUUGAAUACAAGUGGUGAGUAAACACCCUUGUUUUGCUAUUGAUCUUAGAGCAUGAAUAUUCACUUUUUUUACCUUUAUACUUAAUUUUAGCUGUAGGAUUUUCAUAAAUGACCUUUACUAGGUUGAGAAAGUUCCCUCCUAUUCCUAGUCUGAUGAGAAUUUUUAUAAGGAGUACAUAUGACAUAUGCUUUUAUUAAAUGUUUUAUUCUGCCUCGAUUGAAAUCAGAUAGUUUUUAUUUCCCAGUUAUAAACCUCAGUUGUUCAUGUUAUCUUUUUUACGUAUCUUUGCAGAUGCUUUGCUAAUUUUUUAAAAUUUUAUUUUAUUGAGGUAAAUACAACAUAAGAUCUAUCCUCUUAACAAAUUUUCAAGUCUACAGUACAGUAUUAUUAACAAUAGGUACAAUGUUGUAUAGUAGAUCUCUAUAAUUUAUUCAUCUUGCAUAAUUGAGGCUUUAUGCCCUUUGAUUAACGACGUCCCAUUUUUUCCUCUCUCCAUUCCUGGCAACCACCAUUCUAUUCUCUGAUUUUAUAAGCUUGACCACUUUAGAUAUUUCACGUAAGUGGAAUCAUAUAGUAUUUAUCCUGUGACUUGUUUAUUUCAUUUAGCAUAAUGUCCUCAAGUUUCAUCCACAUUGUUACAUAUUGCAGGAUUUCAUUUUUAAGGCUGGAUAAUAUUCUAUUGUAUGUGUAUGUACACAUUGGCUACUGUGACUAGUAUAGCAAUGGACAGUAGUAUACUAAUAUUUCUUUGAGAUUCUUAUUUCAAUUCUUUUGCAUAAUUACCCAGAAAGGGGAUUGGUGGAUCAUAUGGUAGUUCUAUUUUUAAUUUUUUGAGAAAUCACCAUCCUGUUUUCCACAGAAGCAGCACAAUUUUUCAUUCCCACCAAAGUGUUCAAGGGGUCUAAUUACCCCACGUACUUCUCAACACUUGUCUUUCAUUUGUUUGAUAAUAGCCAUCCUUAUAAGUGAGAGAUGAUAUUUGGUGGUUAUAAUUUGCAUUUCCCUGAUGAUUAGUGAUAUUGAGCAUCAUUUCAUAUGCCCAUUGACCCUUUGUAUGUUUUUUAUGAAGAAAUGACCAUUCAAGUCUUUGAUACAUUUUUUAAUUGGGUUACUUGUGUUUUUUUUAAUAUUGAGUUGUAGGAGUUCUUUAUAUGUUUUGGAUAUUGACUCCUUUUCUGAUAUAUGAUUUGCAAUUAUUUUCUCCCAUUCUGUAGAUCAUCCUUUCAUUCCAUUGGUUAUUUCCUUUGUGAACCCUGAAAAUUUGAGACAGGUCUCAGUUAAUUUAGAAAGUUUAUUUUGCAAAGGUUGAGAACAUAUGCCCAUAACACAGCCUCACCUCAGGAGGUCCUGCUGACAUGUGCCCAAGGUGGUCAGGGCACAGUUUGGUUUUAUACAUUUUAGGGAGACAUGAGACAUCAAUCAACAUAUGUAAAAUGAACAGUGGUUUGGUCUAGAAAGGUGGGACAAUUCAAAGCAGAAGUGAAACAACUGGAAGCAAGGAGGGGGCUUCCAGGUCACAGGUAAGAGACAAAUGGUUGCACCUUUUUGUUUCUGAUUAGCCUUUCCAAAGGAGGCAAUCAGAUAUGCAUUUAUCUCAGUGAGCAAAGAGAUGACUUUGAAUAGAAUGGGGGGCUCCCAGGUCACAGGUAAGGGACAAAUGGUUGCAUCUUUUUGUUUCUGAUUAGCCUUUCCAAAGGAGGCAAUCAGAUACGUAUUUAUCUCAGUGAGCAAAGAGAUGACUUUGAAUAGAAUGGGAGGCAGUUUUGCCCUAAGCAGUUCCCAGCUUGAAUUUUCCCUUUUGUUGAGUGAUUUUGGGGGCCCAAGAUAUUUUCCUUUCACACCUUUGAUGCGAACAAGCUGUUUGUUUGCUAUAGUCCUACUUGUCUAUUCUUGCUUUUGUUGCCUGUGCUUUUGGUGUCAGAUUGAUGAUAUCAUUGCCAAAACCAAUGUCAAAAGGUUUUCCUCUAUGUUUUCUUUGAAGGGCUUUACAUUUUCAGUACUUACAUUUAGGCUUUUAAUCCAUUUGAAAUUUAUUUUUGCAUAUGGUGUAAGAUAAGCAAUUUCUUUGCAAUAUGGAUGUUCAUUUUUCCCGUCACUGUUUGUUGAAGAAACUGUCAUUUCCCCUUAAAUAGUCCUGCCACCCAAAGACCGUUUAACCAUAUUUGCAAAGUUUAUUCCCAAGUUCUCCAAUCUGUUUAAUUGGUCUAUAUGUUCAUCUUUAUGCCAGUGCCAUAUUGUUUCAAUUAUUGUAGCUUUGUAAUAUAUUUUGAUAUCAGGAAGUUUGAGGCCUCUGGCCUUCUGUUUCUUGCUCAAGAUUUGUUUGGCUAUUCAGGGCUUUUUGUGGUUCCAUGUAUAUUUUAGUAUCAUUGUUUUCCUAAUUCUAAAAUGCCAUUGAGGUCUUGAUAGGUAUUGCACUAAAUCUGCAGAUCACAUUGUGAAAUACAAAUAUUUUAACUAUAUGAAGUCUUUUAAUAAAUGAAUAUAGGAGGAUUUUUGCAUGUUGAUUUUGUACCCUGCAACUUUACUUGGUUUUAGGAGGCUUUUUUGUGGAUUCUUUAGAGCAUGCCAUAGGCAAACAGGGACCAUUGUACUUCUUCUUUUACAAUCUGUAUGUUGUUAAUUUCUUUUCCUUGCCUAAGAGCUUUAAGUAGGACAAGGGUUAAAUAGAAAUGGCAAGUGCAAACAUCCUUGCCAUGUUUCUGAUGUCAGAGGAAAAGUUCAGCUUUUUCCAUAGCAUGAUAUUAGCUAUGCACUUUACAUAUAGGGCCUUCAAAAUGUUGAAAUAUUUUUCUCAAAUUCUAGGUUGGCAGGAGUUAUCAUCAUAAAAUGGGUAUUAAAUUUUGUGAAAACUUUUUUUCUGAAUCUAUUGAGAUGCACAGGUGACAUUUAUCCUUCAUUCUAUUAAUGUGGUAUAUUACAUUAAUUGAUUUUGUAUGUUAGGCUAUCCUUGCACCCCAGGGAUAAAUGCCACUUGCUUAUGGCAUAUACUCCUUUUAGUGUACUGUUGAAUUAAUUUUGCUACUACUUUGUUGAGGAUUUUUGCAUCUACGUUUACUAGACAUAUUGGCUUAUAGUUUUCUUGUGGUAUCUUUGACAAGCUUUGGUGUAAUGGUAAUGCUGGCCACAUAAAAUUAGUUUGAAAGUAUUUAUUCUUUUUAAAUUUUUAUAUAAUAGCUUGGGAAAGAUGGCCAUUAAUUUCUCCUUAAAUAUUUGGUGGCUUCACCAGAAGAGCCAUCUUGUCCUGGGAAUUUUUUUGUUGUAAGUUUCUUGAUUACUGAUUCAAUCUUCAUUCUAGUUAUAGAUACGCUCAUAUUUUCUAUUUCUUCAUAAUUCAGUCUUGGUAGGUCCUUGUCUUUGUGAAUUUUUUCAUUUCUUCUAGGUUAUCCAAUUUGUUGGCCUAUAAUUGUUCUUAGUUGUCUCUUACCAUCUUUUAUAUUUCUGUGGCAUCAGUUGCAAUGUCUUAUUUCUGAUUUCAUUUAUUUAAGGCCUCUCUUCUUUUUCUUAGUCUAGCUAAAGGUUUGUCAAGUUAUUUAUAUUUUCCAAAAACUAACUCUUAGUUUUGUUUACUUUUUAUAUAUCCUUUCCAUUCACUAUUUUAUUUCUGAACUAAUCUUUAUUAUUUUCUUUAUUCUUCUAAAUUUGAACUUUGUUUGUUCUUUUCUACAUUUCUAGUUGCUUGGGAUAUGUAUUAGUCCAUUUUCACACUGUUGAUAAAGACUUAACUGAGAGACUGGGUAAUUUGUAAAGAAAAAGAGGUUUAAUGGACUCACAGUUCCACGUGGCUGGGGAGGCCUCACUAUCAUGGCAGAAGGUAAAACACAUGUCUCACAUGGCGGCAGACAAGAGAGAAUGAAAGCCAAGCCAAAGGGGGUUUCCCCUUAUAAAACCAUCUGAUUUCAUAAGACUGAUUCACUACCAUGAGAACAGUAUGGGGGAAACCACCCCCAUGAUUCAAUUAUCUCCCACUGGGUCCCUCCACCAACAUGGGGGAAUUAUGGGAGCUACAAUUCAAGAUGAGAUUUGGGUGGGGACACAGCCAAACCAUAUCAAGGUAUAAAGUGCAUUGUUUGAGACCUUUCUUUUUUCUUAAUGCAGAUAUUCAUCACUAUAAACUUUUCUUUUAGCCCUACUUUUACUACAUCCCAUAAGUUUUGUUAGACUUUAUUUUUGUUUUCAUUUAUUCUAAUGUGUUUUUAAAUUUCCCUUUUGAUUUAUUCUUUGCAGAUUGGUUGUUCAAAAAUGUAUUGUUAAAUUAUCACAUAUUUAUUAGUUUUCCUUUUGCAACUGAUUUCUAGUUUCAUUCCCUUGAUGCUGUAAAAGAUACUUGAUAUGACUUCAAUUUUCUUAAUUUUCUUAAGACUUCUUUUAUGACCUAACAUAUGAUCUAUCCUGCAGAAUGAUCCAUGUGCACUUGAGAAGAAUGUAUACUCUGCUGCUGUUGGAUGGAAUGUUCUGCACAUGUCUGUAGGUGACUUGACUUGCAGUGUUGAUCAGGUCAUCUGGGUCUUUGUUGCCUUUAUGUUUGGUUGUUCUAUCCAUUAUUAAAAGUGAGCACUGAAAUCUCC